RNAcentral lists this ribosomal RNA (433 nucleotides) under uncultured bacterium. RNAcentral describes it as "bacterial SSU rRNA". It matches the Rfam family "Bacterial small subunit ribosomal RNA", at positions 957 to 1391 of the family's 1533-position model. The record is from RNAcentral.
GAACGCGAAGAACCUUACCAGGUCUUGACAUCCCUCUGACCUCUCUAGAGAUAGAGAUUUCCUUCGGGACAGAGGUGACAGGUGGUGCAUGGUUGUCGUCAGCUCGUGUCGUGAGAUGUUGGGUUAAGUCCCGCAACGAGCGCAACCCCUAUUGUUAGUUGCCAUCAUUUAGUUGGGCACUCUAGCGAGACUGCCGGUAAUAAACCGGAGGAAGGUGGGGAUGACGUCAAAUCAUCAUGCCCCUUAUGACCUGGGCUACACACGUGCUACAAUGGCUGGUACAACGAGUCGCAAGCCGGUGACGGCAAGCUAAUCUCUUAAAGCCAGUCUCAGUUCGGAUUGUAGGCUGCAACUCGCCUACAUGAAGUCGGAAUCGCUAGUAAUCGCGGAUCAGCACGCCGCGGUGAAUACGUUCCCGGGUCUUGUACACACC